GGAAGUGGCCGGGAGGUGGCAGGGUCUCUGGGGCCACCGCCGCGAGUCCGCAGUCGUUCGGGCCAUGGAGGCGGAGCCGCCGCUCUACCCGAUGGCGGAGGCCGCGGGGCCGCAGGGCGACGAGGACCGGCUCGGGGUCCCGGACGGGCCCGAGGCCCCGCUGGACGAGCUGGUGGGCGCGUACCCCAACUACAACGAGGAGGAGGAGGAGCGCCGCUACUACCGCCGCAAGCGCCUGGGCGUGCUCAAGAACGUGCUGGCUGCCAGCGCCGGGGGCAUGCUCACCUACGGCGUCUACCUGGGCCUCCUGCAGAUGCAGCUGAUCCUGCACUACGACGAGACCUACCGCGAGGUGAAGUAUGGCAACAUGGGGCUGCCCGACAUCGACAGCAAGAUGCUGAUGGGCAUCAACGUGACGCCCAUCGCCGCCCUGCUCUACACACCUGUGCUCAUCAGGUUUUUUGGAACGAAGUGGAUGAUGUUCCUGGCUGUGGGCAUCUACGCCCUCUUUGUCUCCACCAACUACUGGGAGCGCUACUACACGCUUGUGCCCUCGGCUGUGGCCCUGGGCAUGGCCAUCGUGCCUCUUUGGGCUUCCAUGGGCAACUACAUCACCAGGUGAGCCUAGUGGGCAGCAGGGCAGGAGGCUGGAGACCUGGCCAAGCCUCCACUUUAUUGCCAACUUUGGCUGGGGGACCACAGGAAGCCCCUUCUGCCCUCUGGGCCUCAGUUUCCCCACACCGGGGCUGGUCUGCCCCUAGCUCUGGGUGCAGGACACACAGGAGUGGCACAGGUCGGGCUGGGGAGAGCCUUCUCUCCUU
Molecule: small RNA, 821 nt
Filed under: Pongo abelii (Sumatran orangutan)
Lineage: Eukaryota; Metazoa; Chordata; Mammalia; Primates; Hominidae
Description: retained intron
Source: RNAcentral